UACGUAGGGUGCGAGCGUUAAUCGGAAUUACUGGGCGUAAAGCGUGCGCAGGCGGCUUUGCAAGACAGAUGUGAAAUCCCCGGGCUCAACCUGGGAACUGCAUUUGUGACUGCAAGGCUAGAGUACGGCAGAGGGGGAUGGAAUUCCGCGUGUAGCAGUGAAAUGCGUAGAUAUGCGGAGGAACACCAAUGGCGAAGGCAAUCCCCUGGGCCUGUACUGACGCUCAUGCACGAAAGCGUGGGGGGCAAACAGG
This 253-nucleotide ribosomal RNA is filed under the name uncultured bacterium. Its description in RNAcentral is "partial 16S ribosomal RNA". It matches the Rfam family "Bacterial small subunit ribosomal RNA", at positions 524 to 776 of the family's 1533-position model. The record is from RNAcentral.